UAUACAUUAGGGCACGCUGAGCAGAGCAACACUGACACAUCCAUUAGCCAUUGAAGAUGAAGAGAAUUUCUCUGCGAAAUGGCAAUGCUAUUCCCUUUAUCUCUUUCUUCCCUAAUUCACAUUCUGCUUCCGCAAUUUCAGGAAAGGGUAAAGUUGGGUUAAACAGUAGCAAUUUUGACAAAGUAAAGAGUUUAGAUGAUGCUGUGAAUCUCUUCAAUCAAAUGGUUAGAAUGAAACCUCUUCCUUCACUUGUCCAUUUCUCUAAAUUGUUUAAGAAUAUGAUAAGUAUGAAGUAUUACAUUGCUGUCCUUUCUCUUUUUCGAGAAAUGCAGAAAUUGGGUAUCCCAAUUAGUGAAUUCAUCUUGAAUAUCGUGAUUAAUAGUUAUUGUCUGAUGCAUCGUUCUGAUUGUGCAUUUUCGGUGUUACCCAUUUACUUGAAGAAUGGCAUUCCAUUUGGUAUUGUCACCUUUAACACCCUAUUAAGAGGAAUCUUUGCUGAAAAUAAGGUCAAAGAUGCAGUUGAAUUGUUCAAAAAAUUGGUGAGAGAGAAGAUUUGUGAGCCCGAUGAAGUCAUGUAUGCAACCGUCAUGAAUGGGCUCAGCAAAAGGGGCCAUACUGACAAGACUUUAAGUUUGCUCCGUUUAAUGGAACAAGGGAACACUAAGCCCAACAUAUAUAUCUACAACAUUGUUAUAGAUUCCCUUUGCAAAGAUAGAAACUUAGAUGCUGCUAUCACUCUUUUGAACGAGAUGAAGCAGAGAGGCAUUCCUCCAGAUGUAGUCACAUAUAGUUCAUUAAUUGAUGGUUUGUGUAGGAUUGGUCAGUGGGAAAAGGUUAAGAUUUUGUUCUCUGAGAUGGUGAACCACAAUAUUUAUCCAGAUGUGUGCAGCUUCAAUAUACUAACAGAUGGACUAUGCAAAGAAGGGAAAGUUGAAGAUGCCGAGGAAAUAAUGAAACACAUGGUCAAAAAGGGUGUAGAGCCUAAUAUAAUCACCUACAAUGCGAUUAUGGAUGGAUAUUGUUUGUGUGGUCGACUAGAUAGAGCAAGAAGAAUUUUUGAUAUCUUGAUAGAUAAGGGCAUUGAGCCUGACAUUUUUAGCUAUAACAUACUAAUAAAUGGAUACUGUAAGAAAAAGAAUUUGGCUAAGGCCAUGCAAUUGUUUUGUGAAAUUUCUAGAAAGGGAUCAAAAGCUGAUAUUGUUACCUACAAUACUAUCUUGCAAGGUCUGUUUGAAGUUGGAAGAACUGGUGAAGCAAAACAAAUUUACGCUGAGAUGCUAUCUACUGGACAAGUACCUGACUUAUGCACUUAUUCCACUUUGCUCAAUGGUUAUUUUAAGUACGGAUUCGUUGAAGAAGCUAUGUCACUCUUUAAUAAGUUGGUUGGAAAGAAAGAAACUAUUGAUAUUAUAUCUUACAAUAUUAUCAUUAAUGGAUUGUGUAAAAAUGGUGAACUCGAUAAAGCUCAUGCUAUUUUUGAGAAGAUUUAUUCAAUGGGAUUGCUUCCAAAUGCGAGAACAUACAAUACAAUGAUAACUGGAUUUUGUCUAAAAGGGUUGUUAGAUGAAGCUAUAGAUAUGCUUAGAAAAAUGGAGGGGAACAAUUGUCUUCCAAACAAUGUCACUUACAAUGUUAUUUUGCAAGGAUAUCUUAGGUGCAGGAAAAUAAAUGAAAUGGUAACUUUUAUGAAGGAAAUGACUGGAAGGUGCUUCUCAUUUGAUGCAACUACAGCAAAGUUACUGGUAAACUCUAUAAGUGAGAAUCCUUCCGUCCUUGACAUGAUACCAGAGCUUCAUGUGGAAAACAAGAAGUGAAUAUUUCUUUCGCUUGGUUUAUUCGGCUAUGUUAUAACUUUGAUACAAUUUCGGUUUAUCACCUCACAUGAAAAGGAAUCCAAUGCAAUUGUGGAAGAUGAAAAAUGAAAAUCAGAACGUUGCUUGGGUUUUCAUGCUGGCUUAUCGAGGAGAACAGGUUCAUCACGGUCACGCCUGAAACUGAAGUUCUGAAAGCGAAGCAACUGAUGAUAGGUUGAUGCAGGGCAAGUUGCUAGUUUUGCACUGAGUUACAACAAGCUUUGUUUAUGUUAUUAUUUUUUCCGAGAAUCUAACUUGAUUUCUUGCAGGCUAGUGUUGGUCUUGACACUUUUACUAUGUGCAUUUCCAGUAGUUUUGCAGUUUCCUGUUGGCUUGGAAAUCUUUUUUCCUAGUUUCUAACUUGGUGGUUUGAUCUUGUGUAACUGUACUAUUUGCUACAACUGUGCACAAUCUCGUUAAAAAUGAAAGCUCCAAAUUUAAGGCAGAUAAUUGGGGGUCUUUUGUAGAGAAUCAUAUAUUUUUUUGAAACUUGUAGUGAAUCAUAUUUCUGCGUGUGUUUCUAUGGAAUGACUAAAGUGCUGCUAUAAAAGGGAUCAAGAAGAUGCUGGUUAGAUAAUUGGGGGUCUUUUGUAGAGAAUCAUAUCUUUUUUAAUGGUUUUCACAUUUUUAACGUUUGUUAAUUUAUCUGCAGGUUGAUGCAGGGCAAGUUACUAGUACGGGAAUAGUUGCACCAAGUUAUGUUCAGAAAGUUGCACCAUGUACGGGAAUGGUUGCACUGAAUUAGUAUCUUAAGGACUUCAGUUGUGACUUGCUUUUCUUAAACUCUUUUCUGCGAUGCAGCUGUCUCUAGCAUCAGACUUUAUGUACAACCAACCAUAUGUCUAGAGAUGUUACAUCAAGCUUUGGUUAUUACAUCCUUCGGCAGGUCGAUCACAAAAAGAAAGACUACUAGUUUGGUUUUGGACUUGCAGUUGGAGAAUAGAAGAGGCAGCUUAAACAGAGGGAUUAGGGGUAAACAUAUGAGCACAAAAUAAAAGCAUCUUAACAAGUGAUGUUUUUCUAUAAAAGGAUCGAAACAUCAGUUUUGUAUUUUUAUAGAGCAGACAUUGUUUCUGGAGCAUACAUAUCAUCAACUGGUGCAACUAGUCACUAAUAGUUGAUUUUGCAAUUUGGGACAAUUCUUUAGACAAUUUAGAAUUGUAGAGUUGACUUUAUUCAAAUACAGAGAUCUAUCAUUAUGAUUUUACUGCAUCUGGCUACUAUGUGCUGAAUAAUUCUAUUAUUAAAUUUAAUGUAGUGUUUAGAGAUUUUGAAGGUAUUUGAAUA
This is an RNA transcript of Solanum dulcamara, 3140 nucleotides long. RefSeq lists it as uncharacterized. NCBI's taxonomy places the organism in Eukaryota, Viridiplantae, Streptophyta, Magnoliopsida, Solanales, Solanaceae. The record is from RefSeq and is a predicted model, not a curated record. The transcript is spliced from 4 exons.